GAUGAACGCUGGCGGCGUGCCUAAUACAUGCAAGUCGAGCGAACAGACGAGGAGCUUGCUCCUCUGACGUUAGCGGCGCACGGGUGAGUAACACGUGGAUAACCUACCUAUAAGACUGGGAUAACUUCGGGAAACCGGAGCUAAUACCGGAUAAUAUGUUGAACCGCAUGGUUCAAUAGUGAAAGACGGUUUUGCUGUCACUUAUAGAUGGAUCCGCGCCGCAUCAGCUAGUUGGUAAUGUAACGGCUUACCAAGGCAACGAUGCGUAGCCGACCUGAGAGGGUGAUCGGCCACACUGGAACUGAAACACGGUCCAGCCUCCUACGGGAGGCAGCAGUAGGGAAUCUUGCGCAAUGGGCGAAGGCCUGACGGAGCAACGCCGCGUGAGUGAUGAAGGUCUUCGGAUCGUAAAACUCUGUUAUUAGGGAAGAACAAAUGUGUAAGUAAAUAUGCACGUCUUGACGGUACCUAAUCAGAAAGCCACGGCUAACUACGUG
Molecule: ribosomal RNA, 497 nt
Filed under: uncultured bacterium
Lineage: Bacteria
Description: partial 16S ribosomal RNA
Rfam family: Bacterial small subunit ribosomal RNA
Source: RNAcentral